This 2702-nucleotide ribosomal RNA is filed under the name Salmonella enterica subsp. enterica serovar Derby. Its description in RNAcentral is "partial 23S ribosomal RNA". It matches the Rfam family "Bacterial large subunit ribosomal RNA". Lineage: Bacteria; Pseudomonadati; Pseudomonadota; Gammaproteobacteria; Enterobacterales; Enterobacteriaceae. The record is from RNAcentral.
AAUCCAUAGGUUAAUGAGGCGAACCGGGGGAACUGAAACAUCUAAGUACCCCGAGGAAAAGAAAUCAACCGAGAUUCCCCCAGUAGCGGCGAGCGAACGGGGAGGAGCCCAGAGCCUGAAUCAGCAUGUGUGUUAGUGGAAGCGUCUGGAAAGGCGCGCGAUACAGGGUGACAGCCCCGUACACAAAAGCGCAUGUGCUGUGAGCUCGAUGAGUAGGGCGGGACACGUGGUAUCCUGUCUGAAUAUGGGGGGACCAUCCUCCAAGGCUAAAUACUCCUGACUGACCGAUAGUGAACCAGUACCGUGAGGGAAAGGCGAAAAGAACCCCGGCGAGGGGAGUGAAAAAGAACCUGAAACCGUGUACGUACAAGCAGUGGGAGCACAGGUUUACCUGUGUGACUGCGUACCUUUUGUAUAAUGGGUCAGCGACUUAUAUUCUGUAGCAAGGUUAACCGUAUAGGGGAGCCGCAGGGAAACCGAGUCUUAACCGGGCGUUAAGUUGCAGGGUAUAGACCCGAAACCCGGUGAUCUAGCCAUGGGCAGGUUGAAGGUUGGGUAACACUAACUGGAGGACCGAACCGACUAAUGUUGAAAAAUUAGCGGAUGACCUGUGGCUGGGGGUGAAAGGCCAAUCAAACCGGGAGAUAGCUGGUUCUCCCCGAAAGCUAUUUAGGUAGCGCCUCGUGAAUUCAUCUCCGGGGGUAGAGCACUGUUUCGGCUAGGGGGCCAUCCCGGCUUACCAACCCGAUGCAAACUGCGAAUACCGGAGAAUGUUAUCACGGGAGACACACGGCGGGUGCUAACGUCCGUCGUGAAGAGGGAAACAACCCAGACCGCCAGCUAAGGUCCCAAAGUCAUGGUUAAGUGGGAAACGAUGUGGGAAGGCCCAGACAGCCAGGAUGUUGGCUUAGAAGCAGCCAUCAUUUAAAGAAAGCGUAAUAGCUCACUGGUCGAGUCGGCCUGCGCGGAAGAUGUAACGGGGCUAAACCAUGCACCGAAGCUGCGGCAGCGAACGUAUCACUUAAAGCGAUUCAGCGGGUUACGAUUGACGGAGCGAAGCGACGUCAAAGCGUAUACAAAGUCGAGUCGGUUUAAGGAUACGUUCGUUGGGUAGGGGAGCGUUCUGUAAGCCUGUGAAGGUGGCCUGUGAGGGUUGCUGGAGGUAUCAGAAGUGCGAAUGCUGACAUAAGUAACGAUAAAGCGGGUGAAAAGCCCGCUCGCCGGAAGACCAAGGGUUCCUGUCCAACGUUAAUCGGGGCAGGGUGAGUCGACCCCUAAGGCGAGGCCGAAAGGCGUAGUCGAUGGGAAACGGGUUAAUAUUCCCGUACUUGGUGUUACUGCGAAGGGGGGACGGAGAAGGCUAUGUUGGCCGGGCGACGGUUGUCCCGGUUUAAGCGUGUAGGUGUGUGUUCCAGGUAAAUCCGGUUCACUUUAACACUGAGGCGUGAUGACGAGGCACUACGGUGCUGAAGCAACAAAUGCCCUGCUUCCAGGAAAAGCCUCUAAGCAUCAGGUAACAUCAAAUCGUACCCCAAACCGACACAGGUGGUCAGGUAGAGAAUACCAAGGCGCUUGAGAGAACUCGGGUGAAGGAACUAGGCAAAAUGGUGCCGUAACUUCGGGAGAAGGCACGCUGACAUGUAGGUGAAGUGAUUUACUCAUGGAGCUGAAGUCAGUCGAAGAUACCAGCUGGCUGCAACUGUUUAUUAAAAACACAGCACUGUGCAAACACGAAAGUGGACGUAUACGGUGUGACGCCUGCCCGGUGCCGGAAGGUUAAUUGAUGGGGUCAGCGCAAGCGAAGCUCCUGAUCGAAGCCCCGGUAAACGGCGGCCGUAACUAUAACGGUCCUAAGGUAGCGAAAUUCCUUGUCGGGUAAGUUCCGACCUGCACGAAUGGCGUAAUGAUGGCCAGGCUGUCUCCACCCGAGACUCAGUGAAAUUGAACUCGCUGUGAAGAUGCAGUGUACCCGCGGCAAGACGGAAAGACCCCGUGAACCUUUACUAUAGCUUGACACUGAACAUUGAGCCUUGAUGUGUAGGAUAGGUGGGAGGCUUUGAAGCGUGGACGCCAGUCUGCGUGGAGCCGGCCUUGAAAUACCACCCUUUAAUGUUUGAUGUUCUAACGUGGACCCGUGAUCCGGGUUGCGGACAGUGUCUGGUGGGUAGUUUGACUGGGGCGGUCUCCUCCUAAAGAGUAACGGAGGAGCACGAAGGUUGGCUAAUCCUGGUCGGACAUCAGGAGGUUAGUGCAAUGGCAUAAGCCAGCUUGACUGCGAGCGUGACGGCGCGAGCAGGUGCGAAAGCAGGUCAUAGUGAUCCGGUGGUUCUGAAUGGAAGGGCCAUCGCUCAACGGAUAAAAGGUACUCCGGGGAUAACAGGCUGAUACCGCCCAAGAGUUCAUAUCGACGGCGGUGUUUGGCACCUCGAUGUCGGCUCAUCACAUCCUGGGGCUGAAGUAGGUCCCAAGGGUAUGGCUGUUCGCCAUUUAAAGUGGUACGCGAGCUGGGUUUAGAACGUCGUGAGACAGUUCGGUCCCUAUCUGCCGUGGGCGCUGGAGAACUGAGGGGGGCUGCUCCUAGUACGAGAGGACCGGAGUGGACGCAUCACUGGUGUUCGGGUUGUCAUGCCAAUGGCACUGCCCGGUAGCUAAAUGCGGAAGAGAUAAGUGCUGAAAGCAUCUAAGCACGAAACUUGCCCCGA